GAUGAACGCUGACAGAAUGCUUAACACAUGCAAGUCAACUUGAACUUCGGUUUGGGUGGCGGACGGGUGAGUAACGCGUAAAGAACUUGCCUCACAGAUAGGGACAACAUUUGGAAACGAAUGCUAAUACCUGAUAUUAUGAUUAUAUGGCAUCGUAUAAUUAUGAAAGCUAUAUGCGCUGUGAGAGAGCUUUGCGUCCCAUUAGCUAGUUGGAGAGGUAACGGCUCACCAAGGCGAUGAUGGGUAGCCGGCCUGAGAGGGUGAUCGGCCACAAGGGGACGGAGACACGGCCCUUACUCCUACGGGAGGCAGCAGUGGGGAAUAUUGGACAAUGGACCAAGAGUCUGAUACAGCAAUUCUGUGUGCACGAUGAAGUUUUUCGGAAUGUAAAGUGCUUUCAGUUGGGAAGAAAAAAAUGACGGUACCAACAGAAGAAGUGACGGCUAAAUACGUG
Molecule: ribosomal RNA, 454 nt
Filed under: uncultured bacterium
Lineage: Bacteria
Description: partial 16S ribosomal RNA
Rfam family: Bacterial small subunit ribosomal RNA
Source: RNAcentral